GCAACUCCAGGCCCUCCUUGGUAACUGAGACCAGACUCUUCCCAUCAAACUCCUUGAGCUGCUGCAUGCAUUACUCGUCGAUAGGCUCUGUCGUAUACACUACCUCGAAGCCCCGUUUUGUACUUGCUCCACAAAAGCAGAGUUGGCAAGCUGUUCUUUGCUCUCACCAGUGAUGUAAUAGAUGGACUUCUGAGUCUCCUUCAUAUGGCACACGUACUCUGAAAGAGAAGUCAUCUCAUCUCCAGACUGGGAAGUGUGGUAACGCAGCAGCUCAGAAAGGCGGCACCGGUUAGUGGAAUCUUCAUGGAUUCCAAGCUUUAGGUUUUUAGAGAACACCUCAUAGAAUUUCUUAUAGUUUUCCUUGUCUUCUGACAAUUCAGAGAAGAGCUCAAGGCACUUCUUCACAAUAUAUUUGCAAAUGACCUUCAAGAUUUUGCUCUGCUGGAGCAUUUCUUGGUAGAUAUUCAGGGGCAGGUCCUCGGAGUCAACCACACCAUGGAUGAAGUUGUCCAUGAUGAACACAUAGCGGACAUAGAGUUUGAUGUUCUUUUUCUUCUUGUUUUCAAAGAGGUCAAAAGAGCCCGAUGAGGGAUGAACAGCAAUGCCCUGAAUUCCAGCUGACCUUCUACAGAGAAGUGCUUGACUGCCAGAUGGAGGAUCACUUUGGUACCCCGGCCAAUGGGCUCACCAUGGUCUGCACAUACAGUGAAAGAACCCCCAGCAGAAGACUCCCAUGCAUACUGCUCAUCAUCAUUGUGUUUUGUGAUAACAACCACUUUAUCUGCCACCAGAUAAGCAGAAUAAAAGCCAACACCAAACUGUCCAAUCAUGGAGAUGUCUGCACCAGCCUGAAGAGCCUCCAUGAAUGCUUUAGUGCCAGUGGCAAUGGUNAAGUUAUUUAUGAGAUCAGCUUUGGUCAUACCAAUGCCUGUGUCCACCAGAGUCAGGGUGCAUUCCUGGGGGUUAGGGAUGAUGUCAAUUUUCAGCUCUUUACCGCUGUCCAACUUGGAAAAGUCUGUCAGGCUUUAGUAGCGAAUCUUGUCCAAGGCAUCAGAAGCAUUACUGAUCAACUCUUGAAGAAAAAUUUCCUUGUUAGAAUAGAAGGUAUUGAUGAUGAGGGACAUGAGCUGGGCAAUUUCUGCCUGGAAGGCAAAAGUCUCCACCUCCUCCUCUCCAUGGUGCACUUCCUCAGGCAUCUUAAAGGAGAAGAGCUGCGAGCACUACAGACCACGGUGGGCAGGGACUGCGUCCGGCUACAAUGCCACACCAAGGCUGCGUGAGGGUGACUCCUCAGAGUCGUCUUAAUGUUUGUUUUGGAUUUAAUGUCCAAGGGUUUUGUUUGUAAAAACAGGAACAUGGAAAAAUUUUGAAAAAAAAAACAGGAAAAAUGAUGUCUAUCUUCCUGAUAGCAACAGUCCCUCUAAAAGCUUUACUCUCUUAUAACAAGACAUGGAAAACUUCUCAUCAGAAAUCCCACACUCCUUGAUUUUAAAAGCAAACCUUCAGCAUGAACUUCAGUGCUUCCAAUUAACAUUGAUUUAACUAUUUUGCCUCAAAAAUGAUGAGAUAAAAUAUUUUAGAAGAUCUCUUCACUAAUAUUGAGAGCAUCAGAUCAAUCCCAUUCUUUUUUUAUUCACCGUGCCCCUAUUUGAAUUCUCUGGUAAAUACCAUACUGAUUUUUUUUGAGGCAUCUAGAUUUGAGCUUUAAGAGUCGUUGGCUUCACUGUCAUGUUUAUUCACCCAACUAAUAAAUGUAAGUCAUGUCUAGUCUUCA
Molecule: long non-coding RNA, 1774 nt
Filed under: Vulpes vulpes (red fox)
Lineage: Eukaryota; Metazoa; Chordata; Mammalia; Carnivora; Canidae
Description: lncRNA (ENSVVUG00000017230.1)
Source: RNAcentral